GACGAACGCUGGCGGCGUGCUUAACACAUGCAAGUCGAACGGUGACGAAUGGAGCUUGCUCUGUUCUGAUCAGUGGCGAACGGGUGAGUAACACGUGAGUAACCUGCCCCUGACUCUGGAAUAACUUCGGGAAACCGAAGCUAAUACCGGAUAUGACACAGAGCCGCAUGGUUUCUGUGUGGAAAGUUUUUCGGUUGGGGAUGGACUCGCGGCCUAUCAGCUUGUUGGUGAGGUAAUGGCUCACCAAGGCGACGACGGGUAGCCGGCCUGAGAGGGCGACCGGCCACACUGGGACUGAGACACGGCCCAGACUCCUACGGGAGGCAGCAGUGGGGAAUAUUGCACAAUGGGCGAAAGCCUGAUGCAGCGACGCCGCGUGAGGGAUGAAGGCCUUCGGGUUGUAAACCUCGUUUCAGUAGGGAAGAAGCGCAAGUGACGGUACCUACAGAAGAAGACA
This 457-nucleotide ribosomal RNA is filed under the name uncultured bacterium. RNAcentral's name for it is "bacterial SSU rRNA". It matches the Rfam family "Bacterial small subunit ribosomal RNA", at positions 28 to 493 of the family's 1533-position model. The record is from RNAcentral.